This 264-nucleotide ribosomal RNA is filed under the name uncultured bacterium. RNAcentral's name for it is "partial 16S ribosomal RNA". It matches the Rfam family "Bacterial small subunit ribosomal RNA", at positions 793 to 1055 of the family's 1533-position model. The record is from RNAcentral.
GUCCACGCCGUAAACGAUGAGAACUUGCUGUUGGGCACGUUUAGUGCAAAGUAGCGUAGCUAACGCGAUAAGUUCUCCGCCUGGGGAGUACGGCCGCAAGGUUAAAACUCAAAGGAAUUGACGGGGGCCCGCACAAGCGGUGGAGCAUGUGUUUUAAUUUCGAUGCAACGCGAUGAACCUUACCUACUCUUGUAUCUCCGGAAUUUUGUCAGAGAUGCGAAGGUGCCUUCGGGAACCGGAAGACAGGUGCUGCAUGGCUGUCGU